UCGUCCAGGGGGCCGCCUUCGCCACCGGUAUUCCUCCAGAUCUCUACGCAUUUCACCGCUACACCUGGAAUUCUACCCCCCUCUACGAGACUCAAGCUUGCCAGUAUCAGAUGCAGUUCCCAGGUUGAGCCCGGGGAUUUCACAUCUGACUUAACAAACCGCCUGCGUGCGCUUUACGCCCAGUAAUUCCGAUUAACGCUUGCACCCUCCGUAUUACCGCGGCUGCUGGCACGGAGUUAGCCGGUGCUUCUUCUGCGGGUAACGUCAAUGAGCAAAGGUAUUAACUUUACUCCCUUCCUCCCCGCUGAAAGUACUUUACAACCCGAAGGCCUUCUUCAUACACGCGGCAUGGCUGCAUCAGGCUUGCGCCCAUUGUGCAAUAUUCCCCACUGCUGCCUCCCGUAGGAGUCUGGACCGUGUCUCAGUUCCAGUGUGGCUGGUCAUCCUCUCAGACCAGCUAGGGAUCGUCGCCUNGGUGAGCCGUUACCCCACCUACUAGCUAAUCCCAUCUGGGCACAUCCGAUGGCAAGAGGCCCGAAGGUCCCCCUCUUUGGUCUUGCGACGUUAUGCGGUAUUAGCUACCGUUUCCAGUAGUUAUCCCCCUCCAUCAGGCAGUUUCCCAGACAUUACUCACCCGUCCGCCACUCGUCAGCAAAGAAGCAAGCUUCUUCCUGUUACCGUUCGACUUGCAUGUGUUAG
This 699-nucleotide ribosomal RNA is filed under the name Escherichia sp. Its description in RNAcentral is "partial 16S rRNA". The record is from RNAcentral. Lineage: Bacteria; Pseudomonadati; Pseudomonadota; Gammaproteobacteria; Enterobacterales; Enterobacteriaceae.